GUGCCAGCAGCCGCGGUAAUACAGAGGGUGCAAGCGUUAAUCGGAAUUACUGGGCGUAAAGCGCGCGUAGGCGGUUGCGUAAGUUGGAGGUGAAAUCCCCGGGCUUAACCUGGGCAUUGCCUUCAAAACUGCGCAGCUAGAGUAUGGGAGAGGAAGGUAGAAUUCCAGGUGUAGCGGUGAAAUGCGUAGAGAUCUGGAGGAAUACCGAUGGCGAAGGCAGCCUUCUGGCCUAAUACUGACGCUGAGGUGCGAAAGCAUGGGGAGCAAACAGGAUUAGAUACCCCCGUAGUCC
This 292-nucleotide ribosomal RNA is filed under the name uncultured bacterium. Its description in RNAcentral is "partial 16S ribosomal RNA". It matches the Rfam family "Bacterial small subunit ribosomal RNA", at positions 505 to 796 of the family's 1533-position model. The record is from RNAcentral.